This 509-nucleotide ribosomal RNA is filed under the name uncultured bacterium. RNAcentral describes it as "partial 16S ribosomal RNA". It matches the Rfam family "Bacterial small subunit ribosomal RNA", at positions 28 to 506 of the family's 1533-position model. The record is from RNAcentral.
GACGAACGCUGGCGGCGUGCUUAACACAUGCAAGUCGAACGAAGAGCGAUGGAAGCUUGCUUCUAUCAAUCUUAGUGGCGAACGGGUGAGUAACGCGUAAUCAACCUGCCCUUCAGAGGGGGACAACAGUUGGAAACGACUGCUAAUACCGCAUACGAUCUAAUCUCGGCAUCGAGGAUAGAUGAAAGGUGGCCUCUAUGUAUAAGCUAUCACUGAAGGAGGGGAUUGCGUCUGAUUAGCUAGUUGGAGGGGUAACGGCCCACCAAGGCGAUGAUCAGUAGCCGGUCUGAGAGGAUGAACGGCCACAUUGGGACUGAGACACGGCCCAGACUCCUACGGGAGGCAGCAGUGGGGAAUCUUCCGCAAUGGACGAAAGUCUGACGGAGCAACGCCGCGUGAGUGAUGACGGCCUUCGGGUUGUAAAGCUCUGUUAAUCGGGACGAAAGGCCUUCUUGCGAAUAGUGAGAAGGAUUGACGGUACCGGAAUAGAAAGCCACGGCUAACUACGU